UGUAUAUGCGUCUGUGAGAGUGUGUGUGUCUUCAGCACUUACCUUUCUCCAGCGCCGGACUCCCUUGGCGCUGGGGAUCCCUCAGCCUCUCAGCUCCAAAUGCGACCACGCACGCAUUCAAACCGCCCAUAGGAAAGCAUUACUCAAUGCUUUCCUAUGGACAUUCAGUGUGCUCCUCUAGCGGCUGUCAGUGAGACAGCCACUAGAGGCUGGAUUAACCCUCAGUGAAACAUAGCAGUUUCUAUGAAACUGCUAUGUUUUCAGCUGCAGGGUUAAAACUAGAGGGACCUGACAGCCAGACAACUUAAUUGAGCUGAUGUGAUCUGGGUGUCUGUAGUGGUCCUUUAAGUGUGUGUGCAUCUGCAUGCACUGGCGUACAUACCGC
This is a non-coding RNA of Pelobates cultripes (western spadefoot toad), 385 nucleotides long. The record is from the annotation of a GenBank genome assembly. Lineage: Eukaryota; Metazoa; Chordata; Amphibia; Anura; Pelobatidae.